AGUCGAGGGGCAGCAUUUCAGUUUGCUUGCAAACUGGAGAUGGCGACCGGCGCACGGGUGAGUAACACGUAUCCAACCUGCCGAUAACUCGGGGAUAGCCUUUCGAAAGAAAGAUUAAUACCCGAUGGUAUAAUCAGACCGCAUGGUCUNAUUAUUAAAGAAUUUCGGUUAUCGAUGGGGAUGCGUUCCAUUAGGCAGUUGGUGAGGUAACGGCUCACCAAACCUUCGAUGGAUAGGGGUUCUGAGAGGAAGGUCCCCCACAUUGGAACUGAGACACGGUCCAAACUCCUACGGGAGGCAGCAGUGAGGAAUAUUGGUCAAUGGGCGCAGGCCUGAACCAGCCAAGUAGCGUGAAGGAUGACUGCCCUAUGGGUUGUAAACUUCUUUUAUAUGGGAAUAAAGUUUUCCACGUGUGGAAUUUUGUAUGUACCAUAUGAAUAAGGAUCGGCUAACUCCGUGCCAGCAGCCGCGGUAAUACGGAGGAUCCGAGCGUUAUCCGGAUUUAUUGGGUUUAAAGGGAGCGUAGGUGGACAGUUAAGUCAGUUGUGAAAGUUUGCGGCUCAACCGUAAAAUUGCAGUUGAUACUGGCUGUCUAGAGUACAGUAGAGGUGGGCGGAAUUCGUGGUGUAGCGGUGAAAUGCUUAGAUAUCACGAAGAACUCCGAUUGCGAAGGCAGCUCACUGGACUGCAACUGACACUGAUGCUCGAAAGUGUGGGUAUCAAACAGGAUUAGAUACCCUGGUAGUCCACACAGUAAACGAUGAAUACUCGCUGUUUGCGAUAUACAGUAAGCGGCCAAGCGAAAGCAUUUAAGUAUUCCACCUGGGGAGUACGCCGGCAACGGUGAAACUCAAAGGAAUUGACGGGGCCCCGCACAAGCGGAGGAACAUGUGGUUUAAUUCGAUGAUACGCGAGGAACCUUACCCGGGCUUAAAUUGCAUUUGAAUANUNUGGAAACAGGUUAGCCGCAAGGCAAAUGUGAAGGUGCUGCAUGGUUGUCGUCAGCUCGUGCCGUGAGGUGUCGGCUUAAGUGCCAUAACGAGCGCAACCCUUAUCUUUAGUUACUAACAGGUCAUGCUGAGGACUCUAGAGAGACUGCCGUCGUAAGAUGUGAGGAAGGUGGGGAUGACGUCAAAUCAGCACGGCCCUUACGUCCGGGGCUACACACGUGUUACAAUGGGGGGUACAGAAGGCAGCUACCUGGUGACAGGAUGCUAAUCCCAAAAGCCUCUCUCAGUUCGGAUCGAAGUCUGCAACCCGACUUCGUGAAGCUGGAUUCGCUAGUAAUCGCGCAUCAGCCAUGGCGCGGUGAAUACGUUCCCGGGCCUUGUACACACCGCCCGUCAAGCCAUGAAAGCCGGGGGUACCUGAAGUACGUAACCGCAAGGAGCUCCUAGG
Molecule: ribosomal RNA, 1398 nt
Filed under: bacterium NLAE-zl-P297
Lineage: Bacteria
Description: 16S ribosomal RNA
Rfam family: Bacterial small subunit ribosomal RNA
Source: RNAcentral